This is a long non-coding RNA of Conger conger (European conger), 413 nucleotides long. RefSeq lists it as uncharacterized. The record is from RefSeq and is a predicted model, not a curated record. Lineage: Eukaryota; Metazoa; Chordata; Actinopteri; Anguilliformes; Congridae. The transcript is spliced from 3 exons.
UGGCAAUCACACCUGCUGUCCCGCGAGCCGGAUCUGAUGCAGACGGACAGUCGUCACGAAGAAGAAUGCUUGACAUCUCCCGGUAAGUGUGUCAAAGCAGGAGUGAAGUUGUGCAUUUCCUGGAAAGAUUUACAGGCGGCUGUGACAUCAGCUUUCCUGCCGACACUGGGAGGCGUGAGUGCUGAUGUGUGUGUAGGCCGAUUCUGACCCAGGCACGACACAUUCCCCCCCCGGGCGGUGAGAGGACCUUGUCUCUGCCCCACUGUACCCAUGGACGGCGUGACAGGGGUCUGGAGCCCCGGGGCAGCACUGGAGCGGUCUCAGUCUGUGACCCCUUGACUGACGGGCUGGAUUGAAAUUGUGCAGCAAAAUAUUCUGGAGAGAGCAGGAUGCAACUAACCCAGUACUCAGUC